Molecule: ribosomal RNA, 459 nt
Filed under: uncultured bacterium
Lineage: Bacteria
Description: bacterial SSU rRNA
Rfam family: Bacterial small subunit ribosomal RNA
Source: RNAcentral
ACGAACGCUGGCGGCGUGCCUAACACAUGCAAGUCGAACGAAGUUGUAGCAAUACAACUUAGUGGCGGACGGGUGAGUAACGCGUGGGCAACCUGCCCUUCAGAGGGGGAUAACACUAAGAAAUUGGUGCUAAUACCGCAUGAGAUAGUAGCUUCACAUGAAGCAGCUAUCAAAGGAGUAAUCCGCUGAAGGAUGGGCCCGCGUCUGAUUAGAUAGUUGGUGAGGUAACGGCUCACCAAGUCUACGAUCAGUAGCCGAUCUGAGAGGAUGAACGGCCACACUGGAACUGAGACACGGUCCAGACUCCUACGGGAGGCAGCAGUGGGGAAUAUUGCGCAAUGGGGGAAACCCUGACGCAGCAACGCCGCGUGGAGGAAGAAGGCCUUCGGGUUGUAAACUCCUGUCAUUGGGGAAGAAAAAAAUGACGGUACCCAAUGAGGAAGCCACGGCUAACUACGU